GGAUCCUACGGGACGCAGCAGUAGGGAAUCUUCCACAAUGGACGAAAGUCUGAUGGAGCAACGCCGCGUGAGUGAAGAAGGGUUUCGGCUCGUAAAGCUCUGUUGGUAGUGAAGAAAGAUAGAGGUAGUAACUGGCCUUUAUUUGACGGUAAUUACUUAGAAAGUCACGGCUAACUACGUGCCAGCAGGCGCGGUAAUACGUAGGUGGCAAGCGUUGUCCGGAUUUAUUGGGGGUAAAGGGAGCGGAGGCGGCAAGGGAAGCCAGAAGUGAAAGCCCGGGG
Molecule: ribosomal RNA, 281 nt
Filed under: uncultured bacterium
Lineage: Bacteria
Description: partial 16S ribosomal RNA
Rfam family: Bacterial small subunit ribosomal RNA
Source: RNAcentral